Molecule: ribosomal RNA, 398 nt
Filed under: uncultured bacterium
Lineage: Bacteria
Description: bacterial SSU rRNA
Rfam family: Bacterial small subunit ribosomal RNA
Source: RNAcentral
GAUGAACGCUAGCGGCAGGCUUAAUACAUGCAAGUCGAGGGGCAGCACGGUUAGCAAUAACUGGUGGCGACCGGCGCACGGGUGCGUAACACGUUUACAAUCUACCUUAAACAGGGGGAUAGCCUUUCGAAAGAGAGAUUAAUACCCCGUAAUAAAUUGAACGGCAUCGUUUGAUUUUGAAAGCUCCGGCGGUUUGAGAUGAGUAUGCGUCUGAUUAGCUAGUUGGUGAGGUAACGGCUCACCAAGGCGACGAUCAGUAGGGGAUCUGAGAGGACUAACCCCCACACUGGUACUGAGACACGGACCAGACUCCUACGGGAGCAGCAGUAAGGAUAUUGGUCAAUGGAGGCAACUCUGAACCCAGCCAUGCCGCGUGCAGGAUGACGGCCCUAUGGGUU